RNAcentral lists this unclassified non-coding RNA (424 nucleotides) under Hevea brasiliensis (rubber tree). The record is from RNAcentral. Lineage: Eukaryota; Viridiplantae; Streptophyta; Magnoliopsida; Malpighiales; Euphorbiaceae.
GCCUUUAAUCAGAUACCUCCUUGAUAAAGUCUAACAAAGUGUUGUACAUCAUGAAGAAAAAUCCAUGUUGCAAACCUCAUAAACUAAGAAAUUCGCUAUUCUGAACACCCUAAAAUAACUGGAUGCAACUGUGUCUUUGCAUGUUUCCUACUUCUGUCUUACUCUUCCUCUUAAAGUACAAAUCUAACAUGCACAACCUCCACCUUGCUGCUCUGAUUGGGAUGUAUUUGUUGUAGGCUUCAAAUUAACGUCAACCAUAUCUUCCUGUUUUGUGGAUGAAAGUGUUUCCAUCCCCGGUAAGGCUGCAGCAAUCUUUCGGAACAGAGGCUUGAUAUUGAAUCCAGCUUUAGCACUGGUUUCUACAUACAUAACUCCAAAUUCACGAGAUUUAGCAUCUCCCUCUUCUGUGGAAACUUGCCUUUUC